This 438-nucleotide ribosomal RNA is filed under the name Shigella flexneri. RNAcentral describes it as "bacterial SSU rRNA". It matches the Rfam family "Bacterial small subunit ribosomal RNA", at positions 92 to 526 of the family's 1533-position model. The record is from RNAcentral. Lineage: Bacteria; Pseudomonadati; Pseudomonadota; Gammaproteobacteria; Enterobacterales; Enterobacteriaceae.
CGAGUGGCGGACGGGUGAGUAAUGUCUGGGAAACUGCCUGAUGGAGGGGGAUAACUACUGGAAACGGUAGCUAAUACCGCAUAACGUCGCAAGACCAAAGAGGGGGACCUUCGGGCCUCUUGCCAUCGGAUGUGCCCAGAUGGGAUUAGCUAGUAGGUGGGGUAACGGCUCACCUAGGCGACGAUCCCUAGCUGGUCUGAGAGGAUGACCAGCCACACUGGAACUGAGACACGGUCCAGACUCCUACGGGAGGCAGCAGUGGGGAAUAUUGCACAAUGGGCGCAAGCCUGAUGCAGCCAUGCCGCGUGUAUGAAGAAGGCCUUCGGGUUGUAAAGUACUUUCAGCGGGGAGGAAGGGAGUAAAGUUAAUACCUUUACUCAUUGACGUUACCCGCAGAAGAAGCACCGGCUAACUCCGUGCCAGCAGCCGCGGUAAUAC